UGGGGAAUAUUGGACAAUGGGGGCAACCCUGAUCCAGCAAUUCUGUGUGCACGAAGAAGGUUUUCGGAUUGUAAAGUGCUUUCAGCAGGGAAGAAGAAAGUGACGGUACCUGCAGAAGAAGCGACGGCUAAAUACGUGCCAGCAGCCGCGGUAAUACGUAUGUCGCAAGCGUUAUCCGGAAUUAUUGGGCAUAAAGGGCAUCUAGGCGGCCAGACAAGUCUGGGGUGAAAACUUGCGGCUCAACCGCAAGCCUGCCCUGGAAACUGUUUGGCUAGAGUGCUGGAGAGGUGGACGGAACUGCACGAGUAGAGGUGAAAUUCGUAGAUAUGUGCAGGAAUGCCGAUGAUGAAGAUAGUUCACUGGACGGUAACUGACGCUGAAGUGCGAAAGCUGGGGGAGCGAACAGGAUUAGAUACCCUGGUA
This 423-nucleotide ribosomal RNA is filed under the name uncultured bacterium. Its description in RNAcentral is "bacterial SSU rRNA". It matches the Rfam family "Bacterial small subunit ribosomal RNA", at positions 355 to 792 of the family's 1533-position model. The record is from RNAcentral.